This is a long non-coding RNA of Dreissena polymorpha, 364 nucleotides long. RefSeq lists it as uncharacterized. NCBI's taxonomy places the organism in Eukaryota, Metazoa, Mollusca, Bivalvia, Myida, Dreissenidae. The transcript has 4 exons. The record is from RefSeq and is a predicted model, not a curated record.
GGGUUAAGUAUCGACCAAUAUUAGCCUGUGCAGUAUAGGUGGGUUAAGUAUCGACCAAUAUUAGCCUGUGCAGUGUAGGUGGGUUAAGUAUCGGCCAAUAUUAGCCUGUGCAGUAUAGGUGGGUUAAGUAUCGGCCAAUAUUAGCCUGUGCAGUAUAGGUGGGUUAAGUAUCGGCCAAUAUUAGCCUGUGCAGUAUAGGUGGGUUAAGUAUCGGCCAAUAUUAGCCUGUGCAGUAUAGGUGGGUUAAGUAUCGGCCAAUAUUAGCCUGUGCAGUAUAGGUGGGUUAAGUAUCGGCCAAUAUUAGCCUGUGCAGUAUAGGUGGGUUAAGUAUCGGCCAAUAUUAGCCUGUGCAGUAUAGGUGGGU